Coturnix japonica (Japanese quail) is the source of this 1600-nucleotide long non-coding RNA. The record is from Ensembl. NCBI's taxonomy places the organism in Eukaryota, Metazoa, Chordata, Aves, Galliformes, Phasianidae.
AUGGGGGUUACAGAUGGGGUUCAGAGAUUGGGAUUGGAGAUGGGGAUCAUCGGACAUGGUUCCAUUAUCAUGGAUGUGGAUCACAGAUGGGGUUCAUGUAUAGGUUCAUGGGUGGGUUUCGGGGAUAGGGCUCAUGGAUGGGGCUCAGGGAUGGGGCCACGGAUGGAGCCAUGGAUGGGGCUGGGGGUGAGCACCAUGGAUGGGGCUGGGGGUGAGCACCAUGGAUGGGGCCAUGGAUGGGGAUCAGGUAUGGGACUCUGGGAUGGGGCUCAUGAAUGGGGCCAUGGAUGGGGCUCAAGGAUGGGGCUGUGGAUGGGGCCAAGGAUAGGGCUUAGGGAUGGGGCUCAGGGAUGGGGCUCAGGGAUGGGGCCAUGGAUGGGGCUCAGGGAUGGGGCCCUGAUGAUCCCCCGUCCCCAAUGCACCGACCCCACAGCGGCUGCAGGAGCUGCAGGAGCUGCAGGAGCUGCAGGAGCUGCUCCGUGCUCUGCCCUGUGUGCAUUGCAGCACAGCAGGGACUUGCAGCCACCCCCGUCCCCACACAAAGGUGCUGCAAACCCCCCCCAGCAGAACAAGGAGCAGCGCCGGGAUCCCGCCCCGUGAGCUGCAAAAAAGCAAACGGAGCAAAAGCGAAAAACAGCAAAAAAGGGCCGCAAAUGGGCAACGCUCCAUAGAGUGAAACUGAGCCAGAACCGGGACCGGGACCGGACCCACCCAGGGCAGGGGAAGGGGAGCGGCCGGGAAGGAAACGGGCAUCGGCCAAAGGACAAUGAGGGACCGGCAUGAAAGGGAUGGGAGCGGCUGCGGCCUUCCUGGGGAAGGGGGGGAGCUGCUGCUGCUGCUGCUGCAGGGAGCUGCAUGGUGUGCAUGGAGCUGCAUGGUGUGCAUGGAGCUACAUGGUGUGCAUGGAGCUGCAUGGUGUGCAUGGAGCUGCAUGGUGUGCAUGGUGUGCAUGGAGCUGCAUGGUGUGCAUGGUGUGCACGGAGCUGCAUGGCGUGCAUGGAGCUGCAUGGAGCUGCAUGGUGUGCAUGGUGUGCAUGGAGCUGCAUGGUGUGCAUGGUGUGCAUGGAGCUGCAUGGUGUGCAUGGAUCUGCAUGGUGUGCAUGGAUCUGCAUGGCACUGCAUGGCUGUGCAUGGCUGUGCAUGGAUCUGCAUGGCUCUGCAUGGCUGUGCAUGGCUCUGCAUGGCUCUGCAUGGCUGUGCAUGGAUCUGCAUGGCUCUGCAUGGCUGUGCAUGGCUCUGCAUGGCUGUGCAAGGCCCGGCCACUACUUAACACUCCCCAUGGAGCUGGGGGGGCUCUGAGCACUGUGCAAUGCUAUGGGGCUAUGCUAUGAGGCUGUGCUAUGGGGCUAUGCUGUGCUGUGCUGUGGGGCUAUGCUAUGGGGCUGUGCUGUGCUGUGCUGUGCUAUGGGGGCAAGAAGUGGGCUGCAACAUGGCACCGUGCAGUGCUGAGGGUGUGCGUGCAGCUCUGCAUGAGCAGCACCAGGAGUGUGCCAUGUGAGCUGCACGAGGAGUGUGCAACGUGCACCAAUGAGCUGCACGAGGAGUGUGCAAUGUGCAACAAUGAGCGGCACGAAGAGUGUGCCACAUGCACCCGGUGUGC